RNAcentral lists this ribosomal RNA (253 nucleotides) under uncultured bacterium. RNAcentral describes it as "partial 16S ribosomal RNA". It matches the Rfam family "Bacterial small subunit ribosomal RNA", at positions 524 to 776 of the family's 1533-position model. The record is from RNAcentral.
UACGGAGGGUCCAAGCGUUAUCCGGAAUCAUUGGGUUUAAAGGGUCCGUAGGCGGUUUUGUAAGUCAGUGGUGAAAGCCCAUCGCUCAACGGUGGAACGGCCAUUGAUACUGCAAGACUUGAAUUAUUAGGAAGUAACUAGAAUAUGUAGUGUAGCGGUGAAAUGCUUAGAUAUUACAUGGAAUACCAAUUGCGAAGGCAGGUUACUGCUAAUUGAUUGACGCUGAUGGACGAAAGCGUGGGGAGCGAACAGG